CCUACGGGUGGCAGCAGUGGGGAAUAUUGGGCAAUGGGCGCAAGCCUGACCCAGCAACGCCGCGUGAAGGAAGAAGGCUUUCGGGUUGUAAACUUCUUUUCUCAGGGACGAAGAAAGUGACGGUACCUGAGGACUAAGCCACGGCUAAAUACGUGCCAGCAGCCGCGGUAAUACGUAGGUGGCAAGCGUUCUCCGGAUUUAUUGGGUGUAAAGGGCGUGGAGGCGGGAGCGCAAGUCAGAUGUGAAAACUCAGGGCUCAACCCUGCGCCUGCAUUUGAAACUGUGUUUCUUGAGUGUAUGAGAGGAGAGUGGAAUGCCAGGUGUAGGAGUGAAAUCCGUAGAUAUCUGGAGGAACAUCAGUGGCGAAGGCGACUAUCUGGCACAUAACUGACGCUGAGGAGCGAAAGCGUGGGUAGCAAACAGGAUUAGAUACCCCGGUAGUC
RNAcentral lists this ribosomal RNA (443 nucleotides) under uncultured bacterium. Its description in RNAcentral is "partial 16S ribosomal RNA". It matches the Rfam family "Bacterial small subunit ribosomal RNA", at positions 338 to 795 of the family's 1533-position model. The record is from RNAcentral.